Molecule: non-coding RNA, 70 nt
Organism: Podarcis lilfordi (Lilford's wall lizard)
Lineage: Eukaryota; Metazoa; Chordata; Lepidosauria; Squamata; Lacertidae
Source: the annotation of a GenBank genome assembly
GACCGUAGUUCAGUGGUAAAGCAUCUGCCUGGCAAGCAGAAUUUCUCAGGUUCAAUCCCCAGUGGCAUCU